CCUACGGGCGGCAGCAGUGGGGAAUAUUGGACAAUGGGCGAAAGCCUGAUCCAGCCAUGCCGCGUGUGUGAAGAAGGCCUUCGGGUUGUAAAGCACUUUCAGUGGGGAAGAAAGCCUUGGGGCUAAUACCCUCGAGGAAGGACAUCACCCACAGAAGAAGCACCGGCUAACUCCGUGCCAGCAGCCGCGGUAAUACGGAGGGUGCGAGCGUUAAUCGGAAUUACUGGGCGUAAAGCGCGCGUAGGCGGUCUGAUAAGCCGGUUGUGAAAGCCCCGGGCUCAACCUGGGAACGGCAUCCGGAACUGUCAGGCUAGAGUGCAGGAGAGGAAGGUAGAAUUCCCGGUGUAGCGGUGAAAUGCGUAGAGAUCGGGAGGAAUACCAGUGGCGAAGGCGGCCUUCUGGACUGGCACUGACGCUGAGGUGCGAAAGCGUGGGUAGCAAACAGGAUUAGAUACCCCAGUAGUC
RNAcentral lists this ribosomal RNA (465 nucleotides) under Vreelandella stevensii. RNAcentral describes it as "partial 16S ribosomal RNA". It matches the Rfam family "Bacterial small subunit ribosomal RNA", at positions 338 to 795 of the family's 1533-position model. The record is from RNAcentral. Lineage: Bacteria; Pseudomonadati; Pseudomonadota; Gammaproteobacteria; Oceanospirillales; Halomonadaceae.